GGCUUCGUGGCCGAAUGGUAAGAACACUUAGCUUUUACCCUGGAGUCCCGGGUUCGAUCCCCAGUCGAGGAGCUA
This 75-nucleotide transfer RNA is filed under the name Rhamnusium bicolor. Its description in RNAcentral is "tRNA-OTHER". Lineage: Eukaryota; Metazoa; Arthropoda; Insecta; Coleoptera; Cerambycidae. The record is from RNAcentral.